AUCAAGACUGAUUAGUUCAUUGUUUUUAACUAUUUUAUGUAAUAUCUCGUGAAUAACGUUGAUUAGUUCACCUCCGAGUCUUUUGAACCGAGUCUCUUUCGUUCAUUCACGUCACGUGACGGCAUACAUUCAGUUAACGUUAGUUUGGUUUUACUUAAGUAACAUGAUAUACAGUUAAGUCCCAUGUAGCCCAGUUAAACUGUAAAUCCAGUGGUCAAUAAUACUGAAGUGAUACAUUGUCUAUCUCCUCAAUGUAGAUCGUCCUGCUGUAAAAACCAGCAUUGACCAGCAUGAAUUCCCUUUCACUCACUGUUUCCCAACCUGCAGUCGGUUCAGCACGAAACAUCAGGCUCACAGCAACAGAUUAAGAAGAAUCCUGCAUCAAAAGAUGACUUCAACUUGCAUGUGAGACAGAGUGAGAAGAGAAAAAGAGGAAUGAAGAUGGACUGUCUAAGAAACCUGUUUUGUUCAUAACGGAACUUGCAUCUAUCUCCCACGAAUGUAGAAUGCUGAAGGCGAGCAGAAAUGAGAAAAGUUAUGCUACAGCUCUCUGUUUGCAGCACGUCAGUCACGCUCGUCGGGAAAGUGAGUGAAACACACACACAAACACACAUUUUUAUCAAAUAAUACGGCAUUAAUAGCGAUUCACUUCCACAACUUGGAGCGUUUGCAUUUAUAUCAGAAGCGAACUGUACCUGAGUUCACUUGAACCGCACCCCAGACCACCCUUUUUAAGCGGACUCGGGUACGGUUCGUGGGUGUCCGCAGUUACACACAGCACACAGUUACUCCUCGUGUUUGCUGGAUAAUGAUAUAAUGAUAUUAUAUUUAAUCUUUCAAAAUCACUGUGCAAUAAUGAGUGUGUUAAGUGAAUAAAUGUAAACUCUAUGAAUGAAAUGAGCGCAAAUCAAAUAGCUGUAUUGCUGUUGCCUCUUCAUGUGCCACAAAUCAGCUUGGAAAGAAUAAAUCAACUGAAAUACUUAGUGCUUUUUCCAGUUUAACGCAUUAAAAUAUUUAACACAGUUAAUGCAGCAUACGUUUUUUUUGUUUUGUUUGUUUCAUCCUUUGGCUAGCAUUACAAUAUAUGAUUACGCUCUUAUUUCUGCGAAUGCUUUUAAACCAUUUAAGCGCACCAAAAGAGAAAAAGAGAACGCACUGUCUGUGAAUGUCCUGUCACACACACGACGCACAGAAAGACAUGCACCAGUAUAGUGAGCAUGGACGGCCCACCAGUAUCGAGUUCUCUGUCAUGCUUGAAGAAACAA
This is a long non-coding RNA of Megalobrama amblycephala (Wuchang bream), 1265 nucleotides long. RefSeq lists it as uncharacterized. The record is from RefSeq and is a predicted model, not a curated record. The transcript has 3 exons. Lineage: Eukaryota; Metazoa; Chordata; Actinopteri; Cypriniformes; Xenocyprididae.